Paramuricea clavata is the source of this 1787-nucleotide non-coding RNA. Lineage: Eukaryota; Metazoa; Cnidaria; Anthozoa; Malacalcyonacea; Plexauridae. The record is from the annotation of a GenBank genome assembly.
GCAUGCAAAAUUACAACCAUUUGGCAUGGUCAGUGGAAUAUUCCUGAAGUGAAUUUAAACUGGGGGGGGGGGGCUUAAGCACCCAAUAAUAAUUUUCACAGGGCUAAGACCUGGUGGUUUAAUUAUGCUAAUGUAGAGCCCACUGUAUGCACGUAUUCCAAGUGGAAGUAUGGACCCAGACCCCUAGUUUGCGGCACCCCUAACUAUAUACGCGGUCGUAUUUGCGCUUAGCUGAAAACUAUAUUUAAUACGGUAUACCUGCUAACUUAGCUGAAAAUUUAGCCUCUUCCCCAUAGCAAAACCUCGGUUCUGCCGCCGCUAAAAUGUUGUCAAUGGUUUUUGUUAUAUUCAAAUAAUAAUGUAGAUCGAAUUCAUGUAUAUACGUUCAUUAAAAACGAAAAUAAUUCUGUUUGUCUUACAUAUAGCCUACGUAUAUAUGCGGUUCGUCAUAAUGUGUUUUGGUUUAAGCGGCAUACCUUUAAAUAUAUACAUAUAUAUCGCGAUUCCGACUGAAUAUUUGAUAUAAACAAGCGAAUUAAUAUAUAUUGCAGCUAUAGUUAGUCUUGCUCUUUCCAAUUCGUAAUAUAUAAUGGGCUUCCAUGACAUUCAAUUUUAAGUUUUUUAAUUUAAAACCAAAAGAUUAUAUGAUGUAUUAUUAUGAUUAAAAUCUAAAACUUUGCCGUGGGCAUUUUUGAAUUUCGACCAAUAGAACGGAAAAUAUCCAUGUUUGAAAUUUUUCCAAAUUUUUCCCUAUGUCGCAUAUACAAAUUUGUGACUCAUGCAAUAUUGAUUUGACUGCAAAAUUGCUAUAUUUUCUCUGCUUUACGUUUUUGUUGCAAAACUCUUUUUCGCUCGUGUUGAAAAUCGUUUUGGCCAAUGUAUUAUUUCAUAACCUAGAAGAUAAUGAGUUUAGAGAGUCUGAUUUUCUGGUAAAUCGGUCGGACAAUAUUUUUGUAUUGAUUUCCCGUAUGAUUGCGAGCGUGCUACUGUAUUUUUUUUUAAUCAGGCGCUACAAGCGCGUUGUCGUUUAGGUUUUGAAAUAAAACAUUGACCUAAACAAUUUGCAACAAGAAUAAAAAAGAGUUUUCCAACAAAAAUUUAAAAGCAGAGAAAAUAUAGCAAUUUUUAGUUUUAUUGCAGUCAAAUUCGAUUACUCAAAUUUGUAUACGCGACAUAGCGAAAAAUUUUAAACGUGAAUAUUUUCCGUUCUAGGUCGAAAUUUAAAAUGCCCACGGCAAAGUUUUAGAUUUUAAUGUGCUAUAUCAUAAUAUUUUGGUUUUAAAUUUAAAAAGUUAAAAUUGAAUGUCACGGAAGCCCGAAAAGACGACAAUAUUUUCUAGUUCGCCUUGGUGUAAAUUUCUCGUUUCCUGCAUGCAGUUUAGCUGAGAACGAAAAUGUAAACAAGUGCGCUGAUUGGUCGAGCAUGAAAUCUGCCCUUGUUACCUCAUAUAAGUAAGUGUUUGAUAUGUUAAUAAAGUCUAAAAUGUAAACAAAACUAUAUAUUGUACAAUUAUUAAAACAAUCAGCAUUUUUAAUCAAACGACAUCGAUGUAGUGGCAUUAACAUGUUCUUUCAAACGUAGUAUCUGUAACUUUAAUUUUUCCUUUUCAAGAAGAUUAAUUUCCGCUUGCAGGUUUAAUAUCUCCAGCUGCUUUUGUAGAAGAUCUUGCCGAGUAACUUUUUCUUUUUCGUCAUUGGGCUUGUUGUUCGCGCUUGGUAGGGUUGUCGGUAAAACUUGUUGCUUUGUAUUUGGGUAAGUUAUCUUCUCGGUAUGAACAGAAGCAGCU